RNAcentral lists this unclassified non-coding RNA (240 nucleotides) under soil metagenome. RNAcentral describes it as "partial contains 5.8S ribosomal RNA, internal transcribed spacer 2, and large subunit ribosomal RNA". The record is from RNAcentral.
AACAUCGCGCACCUGCGGGAACCUGCGGAAGGAUCAUUACAGAGUUGCAAAACUCCCUAAACCAUUGUGAACGUUACCUAAACCGUUGCUUCGGCGGGCGGCCCGGGUCCUUCCCGGCGCCCAUCGGCCCUCGCGGGCGCCCACCGGAGGUAAACCAAACUAUUGCAUUGUAUGGCCUCUCUGAGUCUUCUGUACUGAAUAAGUCAAAACUUUCAACAACGGAUCUCAGAUCGGAAGAGC